RNAcentral lists this ribosomal RNA (2901 nucleotides) under Klebsiella quasipneumoniae. RNAcentral describes it as "23S ribosomal RNA". It matches the Rfam family "Bacterial large subunit ribosomal RNA". The record is from RNAcentral. Lineage: Bacteria; Pseudomonadati; Pseudomonadota; Gammaproteobacteria; Enterobacterales; Enterobacteriaceae.
GGUUAAGCGACUAAGCGUACACGGUGGAUGCCCUGGCAGUCAGAGGCGAUGAAGGACGUGCUAAUCUGCGAAAAGCGUCGGUAAGGUGAUAUGAACCGUUAUAACCGGCGAUGUCCGAAUGGGGAAACCCAGUGCAAUUCGUUGCACUAUCGUUAACUGAAUACAUAGGUUAACGAGGCGAACCGGGGGAACUGAAACAUCUAAGUACCCCGAGGAAAAGAAAUCAACCGAGAUUCCCCCAGUAGCGGCGAGCGAACGGGGAGCAGCCCAGAGUCUGAAUCAGCUUGUGUGUUAGUGGAACGGUCUGGAAAGUCCGACGGUACAGGGUGAUAGUCCCGUACACCAAAAUGCACAGGCUGUGAACUCGAAGAGUAGGGCGGGACACGUGGUAUCCUGUCUGAAUAUGGGGGGACCAUCCUCCAAGGCUAAAUACUCCUGACUGACCGAUAGUGAACCAGUACCGUGAGGGAAAGGCGAAAAGAACCCCGGCGAGGGGAGUGAAAAAGAACCUGAAACCGUGUACGUACAAGCAGUGGGAGCACCUUCGGGUGUGACUGCGUACCUUUUGUAUAAUGGGUCAGCGACUUAUAUUCUGUAGCAAGGUUAACCGUAUAGGGGAGCCGCAGGGAAACCGAGUCUUAACUGGGCGUUAAGUUGCAGGGUAUAGACCCGAAACCCGGUGAUCUAGCCAUGGGCAGGUUGAAGGUUGGGUAACACUAACUGGAGGACCGAACCGACUAAUGUUGAAAAAUUAGCGGAUGACUUGUGGCUGGGGGUGAAAGGCCAAUCAAACCGGGAGAUAGCUGGUUCUCCCCGAAAGCUAUUUAGGUAGCGCCUCGUGAACUCAUCUUCGGGGGUAGAGCACUGUUUCGGCUAGGGGGUCAUCCCGACUUACCAACCCGAUGCAAACUACGAAUACCGAAGAAUGUUAUCACGGGAGACACACGGCGGGUGCUAACGUCCGUCGUGAAGAGGGAAACAACCCAGACCGCCAGCUAAGGUCCCAAAGUCAUGGUUAAGUGGGAAACGAUGUGGGAAGGCACAGACAGCCAGGAUGUUGGCUUAGAAGCAGCCAUCAUUUAAAGAAAGCGUAAUAGCUCACUGGUCGAGUCGGCCUGCGCGGAAGAUGUAACGGGGCUAAACCAUGCACCGAAGCUGCGGCAGCGACACUAUGUGUUGUUGGGUAGGGGAGCGUUCUGUAAGCCUGCGAAGGUGACCUGUGAGGGUUGCUGGAGGUAUCAGAAGUGCGAAUGCUGACAUAAGUAACGAUAAAGCGGGUGAAAAGCCCGCUCGCCGGAAGACCAAGGGUUCCUGUCCAACGUUAAUCGGGGCAGGGUGAGUCGACCCCUAAGGCGAGGCCGAAAGGCGUAGUCGAUGGGAAACAGGUUAAUAUUCCUGUACUUGGUGUUACUGCGAAGGGGGACGGAGAAGGCUAUGUUAGCCGGGCGACGGUUGUCCCGGUUUAAGCAUGUAGGCUGAUUAUCCAGGCAAAUCCGGAUAAUCAAGGCUGAGGUGUGAUGACGAGGCACUACGGUGCUGAAGUAACAAAUGCCCUGCUUCCAGGAAAAGCCUCUAAGCAUCAGGUAACAUCAAAUCGUACCCCAAACCGACACAGGUGGUCAGGUAGAGAAUACCAAGGCGCUUGAGAGAACUCGGGUGAAGGAACUAGGCAAAAUGGUGCCGUAACUUCGGGAGAAGGCACGCUGGUGUGUAGGUGAAGCCCCUGCGGGUGGAGCUGAGACCAGUCGAAGAUACCAGCUGGCUGCAACUGUUUAUUAAAAACACAGCACUGUGCAAACACGAAAGUGGACGUAUACGGUGUGACGCCUGCCCGGUGCCGGAAGGUUAAUUGAUGGGGUUAUCCGUAAGGAGAAGCUCUUGAUCGAAGCCCCGGUAAACGGCGGCCGUAACUAUAACGGUCCUAAGGUAGCGAAAUUCCUUGUCGGGUAAGUUCCGACCUGCACGAAUGGCGUAAUGAUGGCCAGGCUGUCUCCACCCGAGACUCAGUGAAAUUGAACUCGCUGUGAAGAUGCAGUGUACCCGCGGCAAGACGGAAAGACCCCGUGAACCUUUACUAUAGCUUGACACUGAACAUUGAGCCUUGAUGUGUAGGAUAGGUGGGAGGCUUUGAAGCGUGGACGCCAGUCUGCGUGGAGCCAACCUUGAAAUACCACCCUUUAAUGUUUGAUGUUCUAACGUUGGCCCCUUACCGGGGUUGCGGACAGUGUCUGGUGGGUAGUUUGACUGGGGCGGUCUCCUCCCAAAGCGUAACGGAGGAGCACGAAGGUUAGCUAAUCCUGGUCGGACAUCAGGAGGUUAGUGCAAUGGCAUAAGCUAGCUUGACUGCGAGCGUGACGGCGCGAGCAGGUGCGAAAGCAGGUCAUAGUGAUCCGGUGGUUCUGAAUGGAAGGGCCAUCGCUCAACGGAUAAAAGGUACUCCGGGGAUAACAGGCUGAUACCGCCCAAGAGUUCAUAUCGACGGCGGUGUUUGGCACCUCGAUGUCGGCUCAUCACAUCCUGGGGCUGAAGUAGGUCCCAAGGGUAUGGCUGUUCGCCAUUUAAAGUGGUACGCGAGCUGGGUUUAGAACGUCGUGAGACAGUUCGGUCCCUAUCUGCCGUGGGCGCUGGAGAAUUGAGGGGGGCUGCUCCUAGUACGAGAGGACCGGAGUGGACGCAUCACUGGUGUUCGGGUUGUCAUGCCAAUGGCACUGCCCGGUAGCUAAAUGCGGAAGAGAUAAGUGCUGAAAGCAUCUAAGCACGAAACUUGCCCCGAGAUGAGUUCUCCCUGAGACUUUAAGUCUCCUGAAGGAACGUUGAAGACGACGACGUUGAUAGGCCGGGUGUGUAAGCGCAGCGAUGCGUUGAGCUAACCGGUACUAAUGAACCGUGAGGCUUAACCUU